UAUGUGAUCGUCUCUCGCAUAUCAAUAAGCGGAGGAAAAGAAACUAACAAGGAUUCCCCUAGUAACGGCGAGUGAAGCGGGAAGAGCUCAAAUUUGAAAUCUUAAAGGGUUUCCCUUUACGAAUUGUAGUUUAAAGAAGUGUUUUCUGUUGAGGUUUUGGUAAAAGUUCUUUGGAAUAGGACAUCAUAGAGGGUGAGAAUCCCGUAUUUGACCUUUACUUUCAACUUUGUGAUACACUUUCAAAGAGUCGGAUUGUUUGGGAAUGCAGUCCAAAAUGGGUGGUAAAUUUCAUCUAAAGCUAAAUAUUGACGAGAGACCGAUAGCGAACAAGUACCGUGAGGGAAGGAUGAAAAGAACUUUGAAAAGAGAGUUAAACAGUACGUGAAAUUGUCAAAAGGGAAGCGUUUGACACCAGUGUUGUUUUUCUGAAAAUCAAUUAAAGAACUGUUUAUGCUAAGCUGUUUAGACUUUAUCAGCUAAUCUGUUUAGUUUUGAGCUUUUCUUUAAUGCACUUUUCAGUUAACAAGUCAACAUCAAUUUCUUUUGCUGUAAAAAAGCUUGAGGAAGGUGGCUUGAGAUUCGUCUUAAGUGUUUAUAGCCUCUUGCCUAUGCAGUCGGAGAGAUUGAGGUCUGCAGCGUAGAUCCUUCGGGGCUAAAUGCAUUUGUGCUAAGUUAUAGCAUUUUAUAGACAACUUGUUGACUAUGAUUUGUCUUGUAGCUUACUCGCUUAUGUUAUUUUACCUACGCUUAGGAUGUUGAUCUGUAGUGCGUGCGC
This 775-nucleotide ribosomal RNA is filed under the name uncultured Neocallimastigales. RNAcentral's name for it is "partial large subunit ribosomal RNA". It matches the Rfam family "Eukaryotic large subunit ribosomal RNA", at positions 24 to 647 of the family's 3401-position model. Lineage: Eukaryota; Fungi; Neocallimastigomycota; Neocallimastigomycetes; Neocallimastigales. The record is from RNAcentral.